CCUACGGGAGGCAGCAGUGGGGAAUCUUGCGCAAUGGGCGAAAGCCUGACGCAGCCAUGCCGCGUGUAUGAUGAAGGUCUUAGGAUUGUAAAAUACUUUCACCGGUGAAGAUAAUGACUGUAGCCGGAGAAGAAGCCCCGGCUAACUUCGUGCCAGCAGCCGCGGUAAUACGAAGGGGGCUAGCGUUGCUCGGAAUUACUGGGCGUAAAGGGAGCGUAGGCGGACAUUUAAGUCAGAGGUGAAAUCCCGGAGCUUAACUUCGGAACUGCCUUUGAUACUGGGUGUCUUGAGUGUGAGAGAGGUAUGUGGAACUCCGAGUGUAGAGGUGAAAUUCGUAGAUAUUCGGAAGAACACCAGUGGCGAAGGCGACAUACUGGCUCAUUACUGACGCUGAGGCUCGAAAGCGUGGGGAGCAAACAGGAUUAGAUACCCUGGUAGUCCACGCCGUAAACGAUGAUUGCUAGUUGUCGGGAAGCUUGCUUCUCGGUGACGCNGCUACGCAUAGACANCCGCCGUGGGAGGUACGGUCGCGAGAAGUAAACUACGAAAGAAGUUAGUACGGCGUUGAGACGNGCCGACGGACGACGACGAGGGAGGAGG
This 600-nucleotide ribosomal RNA is filed under the name uncultured bacterium. Its description in RNAcentral is "bacterial SSU rRNA". The stretch from base 1 to 514 matches the Rfam family "Bacterial small subunit ribosomal RNA", at positions 338 to 873 of the family's 1533-position model. The record is from RNAcentral.